UCUCUAUGCAGCUGGUUGAUAUGCCUGAUAACCUGGUAUUCCCCCAGCAAAGAUGAUCUCAUUUUAAGAGUUUUCUGAUUGUGACAUUCAUUCAUAGACCUUCCUGUCCGGCCAAUCUCUGAAUCAACUGGUAAGUCUCAACUUGAGCAUCACACCAUCUGAGGAGAGUUUCCUUGUCUGCCUCAUACACAACCUACUUAGGCACAUCAGCAGAUCCAGGUGGAUUGACAUCCUCUACAGAAAGAUGUUCAGUAACAGCGGCAGUUACAGAAAUCCUUGCCUUAUUUCAGUGUUCAUUCCUGAAGUAUACACAUGCUUUUAACAUUGACGAUAAAACUUAAUAGUACACUUAAGCUGAAGCAAUCAUCUUGAACAAUAUAGAGAUAAAGAAUGGUUAGUUUUCCUAUAACAAAAUGUUCAUGGAGUUAUUUAAUAAUAAAAGUUAUGUCUCUAUCUUUUUCA
Molecule: long non-coding RNA, 462 nt
Filed under: Felis catus (domestic cat)
Lineage: Eukaryota; Metazoa; Chordata; Mammalia; Carnivora; Felidae
Description: lncRNA (ENSFCAG00000047026.1)
Source: RNAcentral